GUAGGUGAACCUGCGGAAGGAUCAUUAAAAGAGGGUCGUAAGACCUAUUUUUAAAACCUACCACCGCCUCUCAUUGGGAUGGAGGAGGUAUGGUUUUUUAAAAUCCAAUUAUUACAAAAUAUAUAUAUCGUCUAAUGACGAAACAAAAAAAAUAUUUAAAAACUUUCAACAAUGGAUCUCUUGGCUCUCGCAUCGAUGAAGAACGCAGCAUCUGACUGACUGGCAGUGU
Molecule: unclassified non-coding RNA, 229 nt
Filed under: plant metagenome
Description: partial contains small subunit ribosomal RNA, internal transcribed spacer 1, and 5.8S ribosomal RNA
Rfam family: 5.8S ribosomal RNA (bases 161-229)
Source: RNAcentral